This 433-nucleotide ribosomal RNA is filed under the name uncultured bacterium. RNAcentral describes it as "partial 16S ribosomal RNA". It matches the Rfam family "Bacterial small subunit ribosomal RNA", at positions 29 to 507 of the family's 1533-position model. The record is from RNAcentral.
AGCGAACGCUGGCGGCAGGCUUAACACAUGCAAGUCGAGCGGACCUUUCGGGGUCAGCGGCGGACGGGUGAGUCACGUGUGGGAACGUGCCUUCCGGUUCGGAAUAAUCCUGGGAAACUAGGGCUAAUACCGGAUACGCCCUUAUGGGGAAAGGUUUACUGCCGGAAGAUCGGCUCGCGUCUGAUUAGCUAGUUGGUGGGGUAACGGCCUACCAAGGCGACGAUCAGUAGCUGGUCUGAGAGGAUGAUCAGCCACACUGGGACUGAGACACGGCCCAGACUCCUACGGGAAGCAGGAGUGGGGAAUAUAGGACAAUGGGCGCGAGCCUGAUCCAGCCAUGCCGCGUGAGUGAUGAAGGCCUGAGGGUUGUAAAGCGCUUUUAUCCGGGACGGUAAUGACGGUACCGGAUGAAUAAGCCCCGGCUAACUUCGUG